AUGAACGCUGGCGGCGUGCCUAACACAUGCAAGUCGAACGAAGCAUCCCGCCCGAAGAAGAGGAGAGCUUGACUCAAAUCGGACUCAAUUGGGAUGACUUAGUGGCGGACGGGUGAGUAACGCGUGGGUAACCUGCCUUAUACAGGGGGAUAACAGUUAGAAAUGACUGCUAAUACCGCAUAAGCGCACAGUAUCGCAUGAUACAGUGUGAAAAGCCGAGACGGUAUAAGAUGGACCCGCGUCUGAUUAGCCAGUUGGCAGGUAACGGCCUACCAAAGCGACGAUCAGUAGCCGGCCUGAGAGGGUGAACGGCCACAUUGGGACUGAGACACGGCCCAAACUCCUACGGGAGGCAGCAGUGGGGGAUAUUGCACAAUGGGGGAAACCCUGAUGCAGCCGACGCCGCGUGAGUGAAGAAGUAUUUCGGUAUGUAAAGCUCUAUCAGCAGGGAAGAAAAUGACGGUACCUGACUAAGAAGCUCCGGCUAAAUACGUGCCAGCCGCAGC
This 506-nucleotide ribosomal RNA is filed under the name uncultured bacterium. RNAcentral's name for it is "bacterial SSU rRNA". It matches the Rfam family "Bacterial small subunit ribosomal RNA", at positions 29 to 518 of the family's 1533-position model. The record is from RNAcentral.